UACGUAGGGGGCUAGCGUUGUCCGGAAUCAUUGGGCGUAAAGAGCGUGUAGGCGGUCCGGUAAGUCCGCUGUGAAAGUCGGGGGCUCAACCCUCGAAUGCCGGUGAAUACUGUCGGGCUCGAGUCCGGAAGAGGCGAGUGGAAUUCCUGGUGUAGCGGUGAAAUGCGCAGAUAUCAGGAGGAACACCAAUGGCGAAGGCAGCUCGCUGGGACGUGACUGACGCUGAGACGCGAAAGCGUGGGGAGCAAACAGG
RNAcentral lists this ribosomal RNA (253 nucleotides) under uncultured bacterium. Its description in RNAcentral is "partial 16S ribosomal RNA". It matches the Rfam family "Bacterial small subunit ribosomal RNA", at positions 524 to 776 of the family's 1533-position model. The record is from RNAcentral.